RNAcentral lists this ribosomal RNA (819 nucleotides) under uncultured Rhodococcus sp. RNAcentral describes it as "bacterial SSU rRNA". It matches the Rfam family "Bacterial small subunit ribosomal RNA", at positions 37 to 872 of the family's 1533-position model. The record is from RNAcentral. Lineage: Bacteria; Bacillati; Actinomycetota; Actinomycetes; Mycobacteriales; Nocardiaceae.
UGGCGGCGUGCUUAACACAUGCAAGUCGAGCGGUAAGGCCUUUCGGGGUACACGAGCGGCGAACGGGUGAGUAACACGUGGGUGAUCUGCCCUGCACUCUGGGAUAAGCCUGGGAAACUGGGUCUAAUACCGGAUAUGACCUGCUCUCGCAUGGGGGUGGGUGGAAAGAUUUAUCGGUGCAGGAUGGGCCCGCGGCCUAUCAGCUUGUUGGUGGGGUAAUGGCCUACCAAGGCGACGACGGGUAGCCGACCUGAGAGGGUGACCGGCCACACUGGGACUGAGACACGGCCCAGACUCCUACGGGAGGCAGCAGUGGGGAAUAUUGCACAAUGGGCGAAAGCCUGAUGCAGCGACGCCGCGUGAGGGAUGAAGGCCUUCGGGUUGUAAACCUCUUUCAGCAGGGACGAAGCGCAAGUGACGGUACCUGCAGAAGAAGCACCGGCUAACUACGUGCCAGCAGCCGCGGUAAUACGUAGGGUGCGAGCGUUGUCCGGAAUUACUGGGCGUAAAGAGUUCGUAGGCGGUUUGUCGCGUCGUUUGUGAAAACCCGGGGCUCAACUUCGGGCUUGCAGGCGAUACGGGCAGACUUGAGUGUUUCAGGGGAGACUGGAAUUCCUGGUGUAGCGGUGAAAUGCGCAGAUAUCAGGAGGAACACCGGUGGCGAAGGCGGGUCUCUGGGAAACAACUGACGCUGAGGAACGAAAGCGUGGGUAGCAAACAGGAUUAGAUACCCUGGUAGUCCACGCCGUAAACGGUGGGCGCUAGGUGUGGGUUCCUUCCACGGAAUCUGUGCCGUAGCUAACGCAUUAAGCGCCCCGC